RNAcentral lists this microRNA precursor (65 nucleotides) under Oryza nivara. RNAcentral describes it as "pre miRNA MIR2907". It matches the Rfam family "MIR2907 microRNA precursor family". Lineage: Eukaryota; Viridiplantae; Streptophyta; Magnoliopsida; Poales; Poaceae. The record is from RNAcentral.
CGGCGUCCCCUCCUCCGCCCACUCAGCCGCCACGUGGCAGCUGAGCGAGGGCCUCGGGGUAACGC